GUGAGGAAUUUUCCGCAAUGGGCGAAAGCCUGACGGAGCAAUGCCGCGUGAAGGAUGAAGGCCUAUGGGUUGUAAACUUCUUUUCUCAGAAAAGAAUUAUGACGGUAUCUGAGGAAUAAGCAUCGGCUAACUGUGUGCCAGCAGCCGCGGUAAGACAGAGGAUGCAAGCGUUAUCCGGAAUGCUUGGGCGUAAAGCGUCUGUAGGUUGUUUAACAAGUUUUUUGUCAAAGAUUAGGGCUUAACCCUAGAUAGGCAGAAUAAACUUUUAAGCUAGAGGUUGGUAGAGGCAGAGGGAAUUCCCGGUGGAGCGGUGAAAUGCGGAGAGAUCGGGAGGAACACCAAAGGCGAAGGCACUCUGCUGGGCCAAUACUAACACUGAGAGACGAAAGCGAGGGGAGCAAAUGGGAUUAGAAACCCCAGUAGUCC
This 426-nucleotide ribosomal RNA is filed under the name uncultured bacterium. RNAcentral describes it as "partial 16S ribosomal RNA". It matches the Rfam family "Bacterial small subunit ribosomal RNA", at positions 354 to 796 of the family's 1533-position model. The record is from RNAcentral.